Molecule: long non-coding RNA, 431 nt
Organism: Passer domesticus (house sparrow)
Lineage: Eukaryota; Metazoa; Chordata; Aves; Passeriformes; Passeridae
Exons: 2
Source: RefSeq, a predicted model, not a curated record
ACACAAAACAUUCCACACAACAAUGGCCUAUGCCCUGCUAGCCACAGGCUCCUACUCCUGUGCCCAACAUGUCAUCUUCUUGGCCAGGUCUGCAAAGGUUGCCCUACCAUCAACCAGGAUCAGUGAACAGAUUUGUGUCUUUCAGAAACUGCCACACAGCCAAGAAAGAACACCCAGAAAGGAACAAGAUCAUGAAGCACAUAAAAAACAAAACAAAACAAAACACUGACUGCAGUUGCCACCCAUAGUGCUCUGCCUGUCUACACGGCUGGGAGAAUCCAGGUACAAGAGGUCGCCCAGGUAUCUCGCUUCUACCAAGUUUCCUAGUUUGGAAGAGAGUCCUUGGGAAACAACAACAGCCCUUCAGUCUUUAUUCUUUCAUUUUACAAUAUUUUCUGCUGUUCUGUUUCUAAUAAAAAGUCAGCACACAA